Molecule: small nuclear RNA, 104 nt
Organism: Cricetulus griseus (Chinese hamster)
Lineage: Eukaryota; Metazoa; Chordata; Mammalia; Rodentia; Cricetidae
Source: Ensembl
GUGUUUGCUUUGGCAGCACACAUACUAAAAUUGGAAUGAUACAGAGAUUAUCAUGGCCCCUAUGCAAGAAGGACACACAAAUUCAUAAAGUGUUCUAUAUUUUA